Molecule: unclassified non-coding RNA, 610 nt
Filed under: Hevea brasiliensis (rubber tree)
Lineage: Eukaryota; Viridiplantae; Streptophyta; Magnoliopsida; Malpighiales; Euphorbiaceae
Source: RNAcentral
GCAAUUCACUGGCAGGGAGCUUCGACUUGGCCCAUGUAAACCCCAGCUAGUGUCAUAUACCUCGCUCCCUUUCUUCUGGUAGUUGCACUUGGAACCUAAUCUGCAGAAUAUACAUAACGGCAAUCCAAGAACUUUUACUUUAGUGAAUGGUGAAAGAUGAUGAAGAGAUUCUGAAUUGUCAAGCACUUCCCUCAAGACGUAGAAAUAUGGCAAUGAAGAUGUCCACUGAAAUUUUGUGACAAAAAUCUCUUGCUUUGACAGAAGGUGAUUCUUCGCUACACAAUAUUGAGUUACAAAUUGAAAAAAAUAUGUUAAUUAACUGAAAAAAGGAAAGAAAAAUAGUACUGAAUGAAUUGCUACAUGAAUCUUUUCCAAGGGGAAAUUCUUCUCUCUCUGCUGUCUCUAUUCCAGCAAACUACAGAUUCCAAAAAAUUAUAAUUCCGCCUUUGAGGCCACCAUAUUAUCCAUCUAAAAGGAUGUCAAGAUUGAGACGUGGCCGUGCAGCUUGUGGCAUGGGGACAAGGAGUGGCUAAUCAUUGAAUUGUGAAUUCCACUACAAGAUGAUCACUUUCUCCAGAAUGGAAGUGACCAACGGCUACUCGUAUGCCAA